This is a long non-coding RNA of Passer domesticus (house sparrow), 1113 nucleotides long. RefSeq lists it as uncharacterized. Lineage: Eukaryota; Metazoa; Chordata; Aves; Passeriformes; Passeridae. The transcript is spliced from 3 exons. The record is from RefSeq and is a predicted model, not a curated record.
AUGAGGGGAUAAAAGGCUGGGCUGAAGAACAAGAAGGGCACAUAUCUGCAGCCUUCUGAAGUGGUGAGGUGUUGUUCUAUAUGGACUGAAGCUUUCUGAAAUUGUGUGGUGUUACUCUGUGUAUUGUGGCUGUCUCAACUGCAACUUAUGCUGUGACAUAUGCUGUGACACAAAGCUGCCUCCAGCCCUGGGGUCUCAGCACAGGAAAGACAUGGAGCUGUUUGAGCAAAUCCAGAGACGACCACAGAGAUAUUCCAAGGGUUGCAGGCCCCUCCUGUGAGGAAAAGAAAAACCCUGCUGGGCAGGAAGGCUCCUGUCCCUCCAGAACAGGCACUGAGAUUUUGGGCAGGAAGGAGCAGAAGGCUUGUGGCUAACUCCAGCAUCCCAGGUGGGUGAGGGGGAAACCAGGAUGCCGUGGGAGGACACUUGUUUGAAUGCCACCCUGAGACUCCUCCCCACAGCACUCUGGUUUCCUCAGGUUCUGUAUGUUAAUGACCCCAGUGACAUCAUCCCUAUUCUCCUCCCCAGUUCUGGAAAGUUCACUGUCUCCAGUUUUCCCAUUGGCUUACCUUUGUAGACACUCCCCCACUGUAUCCCCGUUGGUUGUUUCCUCCUUGUCCCGCCUUCAUUCCACCCCUAGUCCCUUUACCCAUUGGCCCUCAAACUAUGAUAUCCUGCCUACUCCUGGCUGGUUUUAACUGCUGGGCCCUGCUCUGUUCGGGGCUCUGCUCUCCCUGUCUAGUUUCAGUGUGGUUGUUAUUAAGCUGCCAUUGGAACUUCAUACAAAGAGUCUCUCCUGCUUUCUCUAUCAGCCUGUGUUUAUCAAUUGACUGUGUGAGCAUCUGGUGCCUGCCAGAGCUAUCCACCUUGUCCAGAGAAAGAUGCUCUUGGGAGCUUGGCUGUCUCUGCAUCAUCUGCCAUGUGCUCACAGCUAACUACCCCUGCUACCUAGGAGGAUCCCUUGCAGGCAGAAAGGCUCCUGCUCCCCCAGGACAGGAGCUGUGGAUUUGGGCAGAGCAGUAGACAUGGACACUGUCAGUCUGUAGUAGCUGCUGGAUUCUGCCAUGGAGGAUGCCGCCAAGGACGGGACACAAGAACGGGAACGUGCCCCCG